AGAGUUUGAUCAUGGCUCAGAACGUACGCUGGCGGCACGCCUAACACAUGCAAGUCGAACGAAGUAGCAAUACUUAGUGGCAGACGGGUGAGUAACAUGUAGGUAUCUGCCCUUUGGCCUGGAAUAACACGAGGAAACUUGUGCUAAUACCGGAUAAGUCUUUACGGAGAAAGCUUUAUGCACCAUUGGAUGAGCCUGCACUUGAUUAGUUUGUUGGUGGGGUAAUGGCCUACCAAGACUGUGAUCAAUAGCUGAUUUGAGAGGAUGAUCAGCCACAUUGGGACUGAGACACGGCCCAAACUCCUACGGGAGGCAGCAGUGGGGAAUCUUGCACAAUGGAGGAAACUCUGAUGCAGCGAUGCCGCGUGAGUGAAGAAGGCCCUUGGGUUGUAAAGCUCUUUCGUCGGGGAAGAAAAUGACUGUACCCGAAUAAGAAGGUCCGGCUAACUUCGUGCCAGCAGCCGCGGUAAUACGAAGGGACCUAGCGUAGUUCGGAAUUACUGGGCUUAAAGAGUUCGUAGGUGGUUGAAAAAGUUAGUGGUGAAAUCCCAGAGCUUAACUCUGGAACUGCCAUUAAAACUUUUCAGCUAGAGUAUGAUAGAGGAAAGCAGAAUUUCUAGUGUAGAGGUGAAAUUCGUAGAUAUUAGAAAGAAUACCAAUUGCGAAGGCAGCUUUCUGGAUCAUUACUGACACUGAGGAACGAAAGCAUGGGUAGCGAAGAGGAUUAGAUACCCUCGUAGUCCAUGCCGUAAACGAUGUGUGUUAGACGUUGGAAAUUUAUUUUCAGUGUCGCAGGGAAACCGAUAAACACACCGCCUGGGGAGUACGACCGCAAGGUUAAAACUCAAAUGAAUUGACGGGGACCCGCACAAGUAGUGGAGCAUGUGGUUUAAUUCGAAGAUACGCGCAGAACCUUACCAACACUUGACAUGUUCGUCGCGACUCUAAGAGAUUAGAGUUUUCGGUUCGGCCGGACGAAACACAGGUGCUGCAUGGCUGUCGUCAGCUCGUGUCGUGAGAUGUUGGGUUAAGUCCCGCAACGAGCGCAACCCUCACUUUUAGUUGCCAUCAUUAAGUUGGGCACUCUGAAAGAACUGCCAGUGAUAAGCUGGAGGAAGGUGGGGAUGACGUCAAGUCCUCAUGGCCCUUACGUGUUGGGCUACACACGUGCUACAAUGGUAUCUACAACAGGAAGCAAGACUGCGAAGUUAAGCAAAUCCCUAAAAGAUACCUCAGUUCGGAUUGCACUCUGCAACUCGAGUGCAUGAAGCUGGAAUUACUAGUAAUCGUGGAUCAGCGUGCCACGGUGAAUGCGUUCCCGGGUCUUGUACACACCGCCCGUCACACCAUGGGAGUUGGUUCUACCUUAAGGCAAGGUUUCAAACCCUUGACCACGGUAUAGUCAGCGACUGGGGUGAAGUCAUAACAAGGUAGCCGUA
Molecule: ribosomal RNA, 1439 nt
Filed under: uncultured bacterium
Lineage: Bacteria
Description: bacterial SSU rRNA
Rfam family: Bacterial small subunit ribosomal RNA
Source: RNAcentral